This is a long non-coding RNA of Marmota monax (woodchuck), 8870 nucleotides long. RefSeq lists it as uncharacterized. The transcript is spliced from 2 exons. Lineage: Eukaryota; Metazoa; Chordata; Mammalia; Rodentia; Sciuridae. The record is from RefSeq and is a predicted model, not a curated record.
CCUAGGCCAAACUUCCCUCCCUGUUCACCCCUCCUCUUAAUUCUCCAGACUUUUUUUAUUCUUGGGAAGUUUUCUGUGCAAACGGAACAUGAUUAAGUCACUGAGAAGGGUGUUAAGGGAAAAUAUCGACCUUUUAGCCACUGACAUCCAGUUCUGUAUUUUGAAAAAAAAAAAAAAAAAAGCCCCUUCGACUUCCUUUGGUGUGUGUGUGUGUGUGUGUGUGCGCGCGCGCUUGCUGGCAUGUUGUAUAUACGAUCAUUUCCUCACUUGUUUAAAUAGUGCAGCUUGUGUUGGCAGUGCUCUCACUCAGCUCCAAAUGGUUUGCAUCAUGCUUAAAGCACCCUCCUUCCUACCCGCCCCCUUCCUUCUUCCCCCAGCCACAAAACUCUGCACUAGGAAAACAGCCAGGGCUUUUUCCCUUCUCUAAGGAGGAGAGUGAUAAAUAGGUGACUAGAGAGAAGCAGACACCAUGUGUUAACUUACAAAAAAAGCUUUUAGGAAUAUGAAGCAUUCCCCGCCGCCUGGUUUCUAUAUUCCUUUCUCUAAGGGCUGUGUUUAACUUGAAUACUUUUUCUUGUCUGUUUAUAGAAAACAAAAUCCAUUCCCUGUUGCACUGGUGGGGACUGUGGAGCUCUAGUCUCUGCUUAACAGUUGGGUCUUCAGCCAGGUAGAGAGUAGGGCAGUCCAGACUACUCUACUUUUCCUAUGUAGCAUUCACUCCGCUGGGGAAGUAGCAGCUACAGACUUGGGAGUAGUAUCCUGUGCUGAAGACAGGAGCACCCUGUGUCUGACUUCUUGCACAGUUCUUAGCACCACAUCUUGCUGGGAGAGAUGCUUUUGGGGAGGAGACCACAAAUCGCUUCUCAGGAGGAAGUCUUUUGACCUAGAUAAAAUGUAUAUUAGGGGACAAAGGUAAGCUUUCACCUUACUCCAAUUAGAAUAGCAAACGGUACAAAAGUAUUAAAUAUAAACAAUAAGUGCUGGAGAGGAUGUGGAGAAAAAGAAACAAACUUUUACAUUGUUGGUGGGACUGUAAAUUAGUACAACCACUAUAGAAAUCAGUAUGGCAGUUUCUCUAAAGACCACCAUAUGACUCAGCUAUACCACUCCUUGGUAUUUAUCCUGAAGAAUUAAAGUCAGCAGGCUAUAGCAAUACAUGCAUACCCAUGUUAAUAGCAGCAGAAUUUACAAUAGUCAAACUACGGCACCAGUCCAGGUGUCAUAGUGAAUGGAUAGAUAAGGACAACGUGGUAUAUAUGCAUAAUGGAGUUUAUUUCAGCCAUAAAGAAGAAUAAAAUUAUGUCAUUUGCAGGGAAAUGAAUGGAACUUUAGAAUAUUAUGUUAAGCAAAAAAAGCCUAACUCAGGAAGUUAGGAGUUGUAUGUUAUUUCUCAUGUAGAAGCUAGAGAGGAAAAAAAGGGGGGGGUGUCAUGAAAAUCAAAUGGAGAUCAAUAGAGUAGAGGAGAUGCGGGGAAGGAAAAGGAGAAAUACUGGGGAAUGAUAUUGGCCAAAUUAUAUUGUUAAGUUUUAUGCAUGUACAAAUAUGUAAUAAAGACUUCUGCCAUGAUGUACAACUGUAGUGUACCAAUAAAAAAAAUAUGAAAAGGAAAAAAACAUACUCAAUGGGCUCAGUAGUACACACCUGUAAUUCCAGCUACUCAGGAGGCUGAGGCAGAAGGAUCAGAAGUUGGAGGCCAGCCUGGGCAACUUAGUGAGACCCUAUCUCAAAAUAAAAAAUAAAAAGGGUUGGAGAUGUAGCUCAGUAGUAAAGUGCCCCUUGGUUCAAUCCCUAGUACUGUCAAAAAUCCUACUUUUUGGAUACAUUAAUGUUUAAUGGAUUUGAGGAAUAUCAUUUUCUUUGGAGGAAUACUCAUUUUAAGCCUUUUCAGCAAAAACUUAAGAGUGAAACUCUGUUCUUCUGGUCUCAGUGGAUAAUAAUGUGCAUGUGUUGCAUGUGGGGCUGAGGAUGGCUAACAAGUUGUUUGUACUCUUUGGAAGAUACUAAGUUAGAAGGGAAACUGGAUAACCAUGGCUUGGGACACAGCAUCCUUGUACUUUUUUUUUUUUUUUUUUUUUUUUGUGUGUGUGUGUGUGAGAGAGAGAGAGAUCACAAAAUGGUCUUGAUUCCACAGGGUGAUUUUAGGAUGGCUGUUGAGUUACCUGUCUUUCAAUGUAGGACAAGGGAAGAGUCCUCACCUGCUUCAGGCUUCCCAUACCCCAUCUUCACCCAUCCAUCAGCAGUCCCAGCUAUAGUGUUAGGUACCAAACAUAGGAUCUGGCUAAAGAACACAACACCCCAGUCCACCCUCAGCCAGUGGGAAUGAUGACCAGAAUGCCCAGGAGGCAGUUGCAGAUCACUGAGACUUCAGGAACUGAAACAAGUACAACAAAUGUAACAUCUCCACAUUCCACUUCACUUUCUAAGCCACAGACCCGGUUUUCCUUCAUUCUUCCCCACCUGUGUAAAUGGUGGCAUUGAUUAUUGACUUGUUCCUGUCAAAAUCUUGGGGUUACUCUUGGCUCUUCUUUUUCUCACACUUCUAUAUCUAAUCCAUCAGCAACUCAUGUCUUCUUUACCUUAUACCUGCAGAUACAACUCUUUCUUACCACUACACCCUAGUUCCAUUCAUAGAAAUACCUUCUAACUGGUUUCUGUGGUUCUCCCUCUUCCUACUCUUGGCUGUUUAUAGCAUAGCAACUAGAAUGAUCUUUUCACACAUAAUAAAUCAUAGCGGUUUUCUUCAGAACUUUCCAAUGGCUGUUCUUUCGUCUUUCAUCCCUCCUUCCUUUCUUCUUUCCUUCUUUCCACUGGUGAUUGAACCAGGGGUGCUUAACCACUGAGUCACAUCCCCAGCCCUUUUUAUUUUAUUUUAUUUUUAAAAAAUUUUGAGAUAGCAUCUUGCUAAGUUGCUUAGGGCUUCCCUAAGUUAUGGAGGCUGGCCUCAAAAUUGCAAUCCUCCUGCCUCAGCCACCCGAUUCCAGUGGCUGUUCUUUCUUGAAAAGUCAAAGUUUUAACAAUAGCCUUUGAUGUCCUCCGUGAUCUGAGUGCACCUUCACCACCUUCUCUGUCUUCAGCUCCUACUGCUCUCCUUGUUCCAAAUAUACUCUGGUCACAUUGACAUCCUUGCUGUAUCUUAAGCAAACCCAGUGCUCAUACCUAAGGGUCUUUGCAAUUACUCCCCUUUUCACCUGGAGUGCUCUGUCCCUAGAUUGUUGUAUGACUCUCUCACUCCUAUAUAAGGUGUUAACUCAUCUUUCUUUUCUUUUUGUUUUGCUUUAAUUUUCUCCAUGGCAAGGAAAAAUAAUCAUCUACCUAUCAUGUGUCAAUCCCUGGGCUAAGUAUGGCAUACCAUAUUUCUUCUCGAUAAACCUGCCAUCUAAGUUUGAGUACCUUCAUUUUAUUAAAACCCUUGUUUGUAUAACUUCAAAACCCAUGUUCUGUCUGAGCAUAAGAGAGCACAAGUGUGAGGCCAGCAUGGGCAACUUAGCAAGAACCCAUCUCAAAGUAAAAAAAAAAAAAAAAAAAAAUUUAACGGCUGGUGAUGUAGCUAUGUCAUAGAGCAUCCCUAGGUUUAAUCCCCAGUACCACAAAAAUGAAAAUAAACCAUGUUCUGCUGGGUAUGGUGGCUCAUGCCUGUAACCCAGCAGCUUCAGGAGGCGGAGGCAGGAAGAUUACAAGUUCAAAGCCAACCUCAGAAAUUUAGGGCGGCCCUAAACAACACAGUGAGACCCUGUUUCUAAAUAAAAUAUAAAAAGGGUUGGGGGUGUGGCUGUAUGGAUAAGCGCCCCUGGGUUCAAUUCCCAGAAUAAUAAUAAUAACAACAACAACAACAAUAAUACUAAUAAAAAUAAGUAAAUAAACCAUGUUCUAAUAAAUGACUAGAUAUCUAGGAUUUACUUCAAAAUAAUUUGGCAGGGUGGGGCAGAUAGACCUAUAAAUGUGGGGGUAAUAAGCUAAACAUUGAUCAUUGUUGAAUCUGAAUAAGGGCUAUAUUGAGUCCAGAACAGUAUUCUAUUUAUUUUUUCUUCAGCAGUAUUGGGGUUUGAACCCAGGGCCUUGCACAUGUCAGGCAAGCACUGUUCUACUGAGCCAUAUCCCCAGCCGAGUCUUCUACUUCUGUAUGUGUGUAAUAUGCUUUAAAAAGAGGAGUAGAUUAUCUAUCUUCUAAAAAAAGAUUUUUUUCAUGGUGCCAGGGACUUCACAUAUGCUAGGCAGCAUCUCUAGUACUGAACUAAAACCUCAGCCCUGGAAUGACUGGGUUUUUUUUUUUUCAGAGGGUAUAGUGCAGGGGGAUAAUGUUGAGGAUUGAACUCAGGGUCUCACACAUGCCAGAGAAGCGCUGUACCACUGUGCUACAUUCUCAGCCCCCUUUUUGGUGGGUGGUGGGUAGUGAGGAUUGAGCUCAGGGGCACUCAACCACUGAACCACAUCCCUAUUUAAAGACAGGGUCUCAAUGAAUUGCCUUGUUUUUUGCUGAGGCUAGCUUUAAACUUGAGAUCCUCCUGCCUCCACCUCUUGAGCUGGAAUUACAGGCUUGCUCCAUCGCGCACAGCUCCCAGCCCUUUUUUUGUUUUAUUUUGAGAUAGGGUUUUGCUAAGUGGCUCAGACUAGCCUCCAAAUUGCAAUCCUCCUGCCUCAGCCUCUUAGGUAGCUGUGUUUAAAGGCGUGUGCCACCAUGUCCAGCAGAAUAACAAUCCUGAAAGCAAAAUAAAUAAAACCGUGUCCAGGCAAAAUAAUUAUAUUCCAGGAAAAAUAAAUAAAACUCUGCCCUUUCUGCCACAAUAUGUUCUUAAGUUCUGGAGAAAGUAAUCGAACCAUAAUAAUAACAAAAUUAUGCUUUUUCAGGCACUGUGCUGAGCUCUUUACAUGCAUUUUUUUUUUUUUCAUUGAAAUACCACCAGCAUUAUAGGUAGAUAUGGGGACAGGAUCGGAAGGAAGGACAUUGUCUUGGGAGAAAGAUGUUGAGUUCAUAUUGUGAUUUUCAAUACCACAAAACCUUAACUGAGCUGGAUGGGAUGGCAUGUGACUGUAGUCCUAGCUACUCAGGAGGCUUGAAACAGGAGGGUCAUAAAGCCCAGGAAUUUAAGACCAACCUGAGCAACAUACUAAGACCUCAUCUAAAAGGAAGGGGAAAAACAAACAAACAUAUACUUAUCAUCUGUAAAAUAUGUGCAUGUGACUGCAUAGCUUAUAGCGCUAUAUCAUAGUAUUUGUUUAGUCCUCAAUCAUUAUUUAUUUUAGGAAAUACAUAUCAUUGUAUGUAUCUUUGUACUGACUUUUUUGUUUUAUGAAUGAUAUCGUCUCAGGCAGCCUCAUACACAAAUCUUUGCCUGUCUCUUAGGGUUUUUUGUUUUGGUUUGUUUUUGCUACCAGGGAUUGAACCUAGGGAUUCAUUCAGGGAUGCUCAACCAGUGAGCCACAUCCUCAGCCUUUUUUUUUUUUAUUUUAACUUUUUGUUUGGUGCUUGCUAAACUGCUUAGGCCCUUUCUAAGUUGUUGAGGCUGGCUUUGAACUUGCUAUUCUCCUGCCUCAGCUUCCUGACCUGCUGGGAUUAUUGGCAUGUGCCACAGAGCCCAGCUGAGUGGAAUUACAAGGUCAGAGGGGGUAGAUACAUUUUGAAGACUUUUCAGGAUAAAAUCAAAUUGUCCUCCAAACAAUAUAUAGCUGUUUAAACCGUGUUUAAAAAAAAAAAAAAGAGGGUAUUUGUUUUCUAACUUCCUUACCAAUGUGGUUUAACUUUUGUAACUUUGCCAGUUAUGGGCAAAAAUAUGGCAUCUCAUUGUUGCACUUUUCAUUUGGUUACGAAUAGUGUUGGUUUUUUAAAAAUAUUUUUUUAUAUGUGAUGCUGAGACUCUAACCCAGUGCUCACACAUGCUAGGCAAGCACUCUACCACUGAGCCACAACCCCAGCCCCUGAUUACUAAUAAUGUUGGUUUUUAAAAAACUACUGUGUUUAUUGGCUCUGUGUACUGGAUUGUAUUUAUUAUAAAUUACCUUGCGUUCUUUGCCCAUUUUACCACUGGAAUACUUAUCUCCCCACCUCCCCCCAUAAAUUGUAAGAGUGUUUAUGAAUGACUUGAACUUUCUCUGGUUACUUUCUACAGGAGAUAUUUUGUUUUUAUACUGAAUGAGAUUAGAAUUUAGAGACAUGUUGAAGAGAGAGUUGUUGAUACUUUAUUAAGUAGGCAAUAAGAAAUGUUCCUUUGUUGCAUCAUGCUGGGUAAGAUCUUUUGUUUGUUUUUACCUCUUUAAGAUAGUUUCUCUUUACCUUCCCCUUCUUAUGAGUCCAUAGGUAUGUAAAGAAAAAUCAUUUCCAGCUAAAUAUUCAGAAACUAUGAACUCUUAUUUCCUUCUCUUUAGCCUAUUUGAGCCAAUGGGCCCUUGCCAGGGAUAGUUAAAAUAAGAAUCAUACAGUGUUUUGAAAAGUCCUUUGAUUUUUUAGCAAGAAAACAUUAUGAAUUCAGGCUUAUUUUUUGCCUUUUCUCCCUUUAGUUAUAAUUAAAAACCUUUGUUUAAUGAUUUGUUUUGCCAGUGGCCCUCACACACUGUCAUUUUAUAUUAAGUUAUUUCUCUCCACCCACCUCUUUGUGGCCCUCUCCUUCCUUCCUUCCUUCCUUCCUUCCUUCCUUCCUUCCUUCCUUCCUUUAUUUUUUAAUAUUUAUUUUUUUAGUUAUAGUUGGACACAAUACCUUUAUUUCACUUAUUUAUUUUUAUGUGGUGCUGAGGAUUGAAACCAGAGCCUCGUGCAUGCAAGGCGAGCGCUCUACCGCUGAGCCACAACCCCAGCACGGCCCUCACUUUUCUUAUGUUCUCUCACCUCUCACCCUAGUAAUUUAUAAAUUUAUAGUAUUAUUAAUUACUACUUUUGUUUAUUCCACUUCUUUCAGAUUAUAUCAGUUUUCGUUUAAUUUAUAAAUCUAAUUAACCAAAUGGGGAACUCAGUUUUUUUUACCGUACUGUGGAUAGGUCAGUGAUUAGGUGUUUUCUUUUAUUCUAGGAUAGUAAUUCUCACAUUUUGCUAUUCAUCAAAAUCUUGUGGAGGGCUUAUUAAAACUCCAGUUUCUGGGGCAGAGAAAACUGCUUCCUACUUCUUUUUUUAAAGUCAACUUACUAUAGGCCAGGCACUGUGGCACACACCUGUAAAACCAAUCACUCAGGAGACUAAGGCAAAAGGAUCUCCAAAUUCAAGGGCAGGCUGGGCGAGAUCCUGUCUCAAAAUUUUUUUAAAAGAGCUGUAAUGCCGGGUGUGGUGGCACACACCUGUAAUCCCAGCUGCUGUGGAGGCUGAGGCAGGAGGAUUGUGAGUUCAAAGUUAGUUUCAGCAAUUUAGGGAGGCUCUAAGCAACCUUGAAAGACCCUGUCUCAAAAUAAAAUAUAAAAAGGGUUGGGGAUGUGGGUUCAAUCCCUGGUACCAAAAAAAUAAAAAAAUAAAAGCUGGGAUGGGCUGGGCUUGUGGCUCAGCGGUAAAGUGCUCGCCUCACACGUGCGAGACACUGGGUUCGAUCCUCAGCAGCACAUACAAAAAUAAACAAGUGAAAUAAAGGUGUGUGUCUAACUACAACUAAAAAAUAAAUAUUUAAAAAAAAAAGAACUGAGAUGUAGGUCAGUGGUGAAGCACUUGUCUAGCAUGUGUGAGGCCUUGAGUUCAAUAUUUAGUACUGCAAAAAAUAAACAAAACCUCACCAAUUUCUGUGCCCUAGCCUGAGAGUUGCUGAUUUGGGGGAGGAGGAGAGACUGAAAAUUGCAUUUCUAAUAAGUUCACACCUCAUGCUAAAUGGUCUGGAUUCCACACCAUUAAGAAUCUCUACUUUUAGGAACUUGGUGGAUGCUGAAGUUGUAACAAUUAGGCGAAGAUUGUUGUGCCCAUGAAAAUAAAGACCUCAGGUAUAAGUAGUUUUUCUAAUACUAUCUGUAACUUUAGAAUUAUAAUCAUAUUACCUGAGAGUUCACAUGCUUUACCUCCAUUUUGCCAGACAGCUUUUCUGAGCUCUUCAGAAAAAAAAAAAAUUUACAUUCAGAAUGCUAUGAAUAUAUCUUUCCUGAAUAUAUAUGAAGAGUCGCAUGUCUGGAUGGUCUCCUUUCCUAGAAGACUCUGAACUAUAUAAAUGACACUUGGUGUCCUUAUGUGUUUGGCACUAUGUGAUAAGCUUUACAUUAUUUCAUUUAAAUUUCACAAAAGCCCUGUGGGAAUUUUUGCUAUAGGAAAGAACUUACCCAGGAUGACACAGCUAAGAAUGAUAGAAUCAAAUCCAGGCAAUCUAAGUCUAGAGCACACACUCUUAAUAUAUAUAAAUACAGUAGUAGAGUGAUUGAACAAACAUAUUAACUCAGUAUUUACAGUUCUUCUCUUGCCUUUGAUAGUUUUAUUUUCACUGGAAGCUUGAGUUUUCACCAGCAACUUGGAAACUUUUGACUUGGUUUGAGGAAGAUCAUCUGAUUUCCCAGGAUAGUUUCUGAAAUGAGCAAGGAAGUAAAAGUUCAUAUGAAUGGAUUAGGACAGGUUAAGUUUACUCACAUCUUUCUCAUGGCACACCUGUUUUGACAUGCAGCCAAAGUGCAAAAAUCUAAGAAUAGUGGUCAUGUAGCAUCUAAGGACCAGAAAGUCAGGACAUUCAGGAUUGCUUAUAUAAAUAGUGAUGCUCGGAAUUGGUUGAUGGGAAUGACCGGUAGAUUAAAAACUGAAUCUGCCUAUCAACCUACCUACAUAUGUACAUAUAAACAAUCUUUGGCUCAGACCUUAAUAAAUAUGGACCACAAUUAAAAAUAAAAUUGAAAUUAGAGGAGGAUGUACUAUAAUUAGAGAAAAAACUACUGCCCAUAAUCUCAGUACUUCCUGUCUCUUCCUUUAUUUUUUUAACUAAUAUAAUCAG